AUGUGUUUACAGUAUGUCUCAUCCUUACUCUUUCUUCACUUUGGCUAUCUGAAGCCAAUUUUUUUUUCCUUUUUUUGCCUUCUAGUUAAGCAGAAUGGAUUCAUCUCCAACUCUGCACUCUGCUGUAUCUUCCCAUGGAAUUUGUGCAUUGCAAGAGUGAAUAGCUUCCACUCUUUUGGCACAUUGCUUUCUCUCAGCCACAUAUAGAAAUGGAAAACGGUCUGCAUGCCCCAGUGUGGCUUUUGUUUGUAUCCAGUCACUCCAGCAUGAAUUCUAAAACCUGGAUCUGUUUCCCCUCCCACACCGAAGAUUUUUGACUAUGAAAGGAUUCAUCUUUUACAAUGAAAAUUGGUUUCAAUGCCCUUAAACAUGUUUUUGCUUCUGGGUUUCUGGGUUUUGUUACUAAACAUCCUUGUUCUUUUACAUGUGUCUCCACUCUCUUGGCCUCAGAACAAAGUAACUUAUACUGUUGUCAGACCAAUUAUCAAUCUGGGAUAGAUUCUGUAAAACUGUGUUUUUUUUUUUAAAUGCUAGUGAAUAAACCUCAGUGAAUAAGUUUUAUUAUUUUGUUUGUUCCCUCAUUUCUCCAUUUGUUUAAUCGAUAAUUUAAGCAUUGGCUGUAUGUUAGGACCAGUGUAAUCUGGAGCUGUGAAUAUGAGUGAGACAGGGUAUCCUGCCUGGGGAUGGGUUGAAAAUGCACUAGAACAGAAGGUCAUUUUUUUGGAGGGGGGAAGUUGGGAGGAGACUGAGUGUUGCUCUGUUGACCAGGCUGGAAUGCAGUGGCAUGAUCUCUACUCACUGCCACCUCCACCUCCCAAGCAAUUCUCCUGCAUCAGCCUCCUGAAUAGCUGAGAUUACAGGUGUGUGCCACCACACCCAGUUAAUUUUUGUACUUUUAGUAGAGAUGGGAUUUUGCCAUAUUGGCCAGGCUGGUCGAACUCCUCACCUCAGGUAAUCUGCCCGUCUCAGCCUUCCAAAGUGCUGGGAUUACAGGUGUGAGCCACGGCGCCAGGCCUCAUAAUGUAUUUUGGAUAGGAAAUCCCUUAUGCUGGGAAAAAGGAGCUUAAAAAUAAUAAUUUCUUAUAAAUUUUAUUCCUUAUGCUUUUUCACAAUCAGUGCUGCUGCUUUGUAAGUUUCUACUUCCUGUCUAAAAUGUGCAAUAUUGGCAAUGUACAUACAUUGAAAAGAGGGAGAUUUUUAUUUCAUUGAAAUAUGGUAGCAACCGAACAUUUAAAAACAGACAACUAACCAGAUAUGCUAGUUGUUAUACACAAUGAGGUCUGCAUUUCCUUUUUGCAUUCAGGAAAGAAAAGAAAAACAAAACAUAUGGCCAUUUAUAAAUAUUUGUAAGAAGGGAGUUUCUUCAUAAUUAAAUUCAGAAUAAAAAGGAAAAUAACAGAUAAAGAAAAAGAAAAAAAAGCAUUAGUAAGGUUUAAUAAUAAUUUAUAUUCCAAAGAAGAUUGGGGAGAUUGGGAAAAUGAGAUGGUGACGGAAGAAACCUGUUAAAAAGGGAUUUAUAAUUUUAAGCGAACAGGGAAUGAAGUGAGAGAUAAGUAUUUCUUUAUCAAAAAUGCAGAUUUUAGUUUCAAAUUCA
RNAcentral lists this long non-coding RNA (1594 nucleotides) under Callithrix jacchus (white-tufted-ear marmoset). RNAcentral's name for it is "lncRNA (ENSCJAG00000086381.1)". The record is from RNAcentral. Lineage: Eukaryota; Metazoa; Chordata; Mammalia; Primates; Cebidae.